CUAGUGUGUGUAAUCGCCAAAUUAGGUCACGGGUUACAGAAAUUCUUGCUCAGAACAAUCCUCAACGUGCUUCCUUUCAGUGAUAAAAGUGAGACUGGUGGGCCAGAAAUCUCCACCCCUCCCCACUCUUUGCUUAUGUGAAUUCCAAAGUAUGUCAAAAGUGUAUAUGACUGCUGUCACAUACGUGUGUGUGCCUUCUGGUGUAUGUGUGCAUGUGGCUCUGGACAUAAACAACUUACUAAAAAAAUUUUUUUUUGUAAAGCAUAUGGAAGAAACGAAGCCUGGAAAACUUUCCCGAGAGACAGAAGGAGAAGAGAGCCUGAAACUUUGUUGAGCUUUUAAGAGGCAUGCGGAUCAUACACUGUCUUCAAAAACACGAGCAAAAUCUAUCCAGCUGAGAACCAAGCUCAAUCAGAUUGCCACCUCAAACUGCAUUUUCGGAGGCGGAGGCAAAAUAGUGCACAGAAAUCAUCAGCUUUGAGGUUUUUACCGGUCCCUACUAGUCAUCAGAAGAAUGAGGAACAGAAAUAGCAGUGAGCACACUGACUGGGCCAAGGAUUCUUUCAUUCAAUAAAUAUUUUUUUAUUAAAAACA
This is a long non-coding RNA of Herpailurus yagouaroundi (jaguarundi), 594 nucleotides long. RefSeq lists it as uncharacterized. The transcript is spliced from 2 exons. NCBI's taxonomy places the organism in Eukaryota, Metazoa, Chordata, Mammalia, Carnivora, Felidae. The record is from RefSeq and is a predicted model, not a curated record.